Molecule: long non-coding RNA, 425 nt
Organism: Xenopus tropicalis (tropical clawed frog)
Lineage: Eukaryota; Metazoa; Chordata; Amphibia; Anura; Pipidae
Exons: 3
Source: RefSeq, a predicted model, not a curated record
CCUCCCUUGGUUGCUCUAAAAGAAGCUCUGGAAGUUUCAGGCUUGCAUGGCAAACUACAAACUGAAGUUGGUUGCGUAUGUUCUCUGCUUGUCCACUGCAUGUCUUCCACCUAAACAAAGAACACAUCACUCAGAACCCUUCCAUAUCCAUUUUACUUUCCAAAAAUCUUGAUAAUAAUAUGACAGAUCAAUGGCAAUACAAUUUAGGACAACGGGAAGUCCUUUCUGAAAAAAUAUGUUACAGACUGGAUUUCACUUUUCCAGAGUUUCAAGUAAAAACCACCUUGCUGACAAGCUGCACCAUCUAUUACAUCACCACCUAAGGGGCAGAAGGAACCGCAGCAGUUGAAAUUGUUUCACAUACAAUAAACAGCCAUCAUUGAAUGAAUGUGUCAGUUUAUUAAAUUGUGCUUUUAAAAGUCAAA